Molecule: ribosomal RNA, 251 nt
Filed under: uncultured fungus
Lineage: Eukaryota; Fungi
Description: partial small subunit ribosomal RNA
Rfam family: Eukaryotic small subunit ribosomal RNA
Source: RNAcentral
CUAAUUGCGUUAACGAACGAGACCUUAACCUGCUAAAUAGCUAUGCCAAUUCCUAUUGGUAGCCAGCUUCUUAGAGGGACUGUCGGCGAUUAGCCGACGGAAGUUUUAGGCAAUAACAGGUCUGUUAUGCCCUUAGAUGUCCUGGGCCGCACGCGCGCUACACUGAUGAAAUCAACGAGUUUAUCACCUUGGCCGGAAGGUCUGGGUAAUCUUUUGAAAUCUCAUCGUGCUGGGGAUAGGGCAUUGCAAUG